AUUGAACGCUGGCGGCAGGCCUAACACAUGCAAGUCGAACGAGUGGCGGACGGGUGAGUAAUGUCUGGGAAACUGCCUGAUGGAGGGGGAUCACUACUGGAAACGGUAGCUAAUACCGCAUACCAUCAGAUGCGCCCAGAUGGGAUUGGCUUGUUGGUGGGGUAAGGUCUCACCAAGGCGACGAUCCCUAGCUGGUCUGAGAGGAUGACCAGCCACGCUGGAACUUGGGCACUGGCCAGACUCCUACGGGAGGCAGCAGUGGGGAAUAUUGCACAAUGGGCGCAAGCCUUCUGCAGCCAUGCCGGGGGUAUGAAUAAGGCCUUCGGGUUUGAAAGUACUUUCAGCGGGGAGGCGUUACCCGCAGAAGAAGCCCCGGCUAACUCCGUGCCAGCAGCCGCGGUAAUAC
Molecule: ribosomal RNA, 406 nt
Filed under: uncultured bacterium
Lineage: Bacteria
Description: partial 16S ribosomal RNA
Rfam family: Bacterial small subunit ribosomal RNA
Source: RNAcentral